RNAcentral lists this ribosomal RNA (300 nucleotides) under uncultured Gemmatimonadales bacterium. RNAcentral's name for it is "bacterial SSU rRNA". It matches the Rfam family "Bacterial small subunit ribosomal RNA", at positions 115 to 415 of the family's 1533-position model. The record is from RNAcentral. Lineage: Bacteria; Pseudomonadati; Gemmatimonadota; Gemmatimonadia; Gemmatimonadales.
ACGUGAACAACCUGCCCUCGUGUGGGGGAUAGCCGGGCUAACGCCCGGGUAAUACCGCAUACGUUCUCUUUGGGGAGUCCCGAGGAGAGGAAAGCUCCGGCGCACGGGGAGGGGUUCGCGGCCUAUCAGCUAGUUGGCGGGGUAAUGGCCCACCAAGGCGACGACGGGUAGCUGGUCUGAGAGGAUGGCCAGCCACAUUGGGACUGAGAGACGGCCCAGACUCCUACGGGAGGCAGCAGUGGGGAAUCUUGCGCAAUGGCCGAAAGGCUGACGCAGCGACGCCGCGUGUGGGAGGACGCC